This 1361-nucleotide ribosomal RNA is filed under the name uncultured bacterium. RNAcentral describes it as "bacterial SSU rRNA". It matches the Rfam family "Bacterial small subunit ribosomal RNA", at positions 28 to 1381 of the family's 1533-position model. The record is from RNAcentral.
AUUGAACGCUGGUUGCAGGCCUAACACAUGCAAGUCGAGCGGUAGCACAGAGAGCUUGCUCUCGGGUGACGAGCGGCGGACGGGUGAGUAAUGUCUGGGAAACUGCCUGAUGGAGGGGGAUAACUACUGGAAACGGUAGCUAAUACCGCAUAACGUCGCAAGACCAAAGUGGGGGACCUUCGGGCCUCAUGCCAUCAGAUGUGCCCAGAUGGGAUUAGCUAGUAGGUGGGGUAACGGCUCACCUAGGCGACGAUCCCUAGCUGGUCUGAGAGGAUGACCAGCCACACUGGAACUGAGACACGGUCCAGACUCCUACGGGAGGCAGCAGUGGGGAAUAUUGCACAAUGGGCGCAAGCCUGAUGCAGCCAUGCCGCGUGCGUGAAGAAGGCCUUCGGGUUGUAAAGCACUUUCAGCGGGGAGGAAGGCGGUGAGGUUAAUAACCUCAUCGAUUGACGUUACCCGCAGAAGAAGCACCGGCUAACUCCGUGCCAGCAGCCGCGGUAAUACGGAGGGUGCAAGCGUUAAUCGGAAUUACUGGGCGUAAAGCGCACGCAGGCGGUCUGUCAAGUCGGAUGUGAAAUCCCCGGGCUCAACCUGGGAACUGCAUUCGAAACUGGCAGGCUAGAGUCUUGUAGAGGGGGGUAGAAUUCCAGGUGUAGCGGUGAAAUGCGUAGAGAUCUGGAGGAAUACCGGUGGCGAAGGCGGCCCCCUGGACAAAGACUGACGCUCAGGUACGAAAGCGUGGGGAGCAAACAGGAUUAGAUACCCUGGUAGUCCACGCCGUAAACGAUGUCGAUUUGGAGGUUGUGCCCUUGAGGCGUGGCUUCCGGAGCUAACGCGUUAAAUCGACCGCCUGGGGAGUACGGCCGCAAGGUUAAAACUCAAAUGAAUUGACGGGGGCCCGCACAAGCGGUGGAGCAUGUGGUUUAAUUCGAUGCAACGCGAAGAACCUUACCUGGUCUUGACAUCCACAGAACUUUCCAGAGAUGGAUUGGUGCCUUCGGGAACUGUGAGACAGGUGCUGCAUGGCCGUCGUCAGCUCGUGUUGUGAAAUGUUGGGUUAAGUCCCGCAACGAGCGCAACCCUUAUCCUUUGUUGCCAGCGGUCCGGCCGGGAACUCAAAGGAGACUGCCAGUGAUAAACUGGAGGAAGGUGGGGAUAACGUCAAGUCAUCAUGGCCCUUACGACCAGGGCUACACACGUGCUACAAUGGCAUAUACAAAGAGAAGCGACCUCGCGAGAGCAAGCGGACCUCAUAAAGUAUGUCGUAGUCCGGAUUGGAGUCUGCAACUCGACUCCAUGAAGUCGGAAUCGCUAGUAAUCGUAGAUCAGAAUGCUACGGUGAAUACGUUCCCGGGCCU